CACAGGAAACAGCUAUGACCAUGAUUACGCCAAGCUUGGUACCGAGCUCGGAUCCACUAGUAACGGCCGCCAGUGUGCUGGAAUUCGGCUUAUUACCGCGGCUGCUGGCACAGAGUUAGCCGGUGCUUCUUCUGAGGGUAACGUCAUUAUCCUCCCCUCUGAAAGUGCUUUACAACCCGCAGGCCUUCUUCACACACGCGGCGUCGCUGCGUCAGGGUUUCCCCCAUUGCGCAAUAUUCCUCACUGCUGCCUCCCGUAGGAAGCCGAAUUCUGCAGAUAUCCAUCACACUGGCGGCCGCUCGAGCAUGCAUCUAGAGGGCCCAAUUCGCCCUAUAGUGAGUCGUAUUACAAUUCACUGGCCGUCGUUUUACAACGUCA
RNAcentral lists this ribosomal RNA (378 nucleotides) under uncultured bacterium. Its description in RNAcentral is "partial 16S ribosomal RNA". The record is from RNAcentral.